This 274-nucleotide ribosomal RNA is filed under the name uncultured bacterium. RNAcentral describes it as "partial 16S ribosomal RNA". It matches the Rfam family "Bacterial small subunit ribosomal RNA", at positions 523 to 796 of the family's 1533-position model. The record is from RNAcentral.
AUACGGAGGGUGCAAGCGUUGUUCGGAAUUACUGGGCGUAAAGCGCGUGCAGGCGGUAAGGUAAGUCAGAUGUGAAAGCCCCGGGUUCAACCCGGGAAGUGCAUUUGAUACUGCCUUUCUUGAGUAUGGGAGAGGAGAGUGGAAUUCCCAGUGUAGAGGUGAAAUUCGUAGAUAUUGGGAGGAACACCCGUGGCGAAGGCGACUCUCUGGACCAAUACUGACGCUGAGACGCGAAAGCGUGGGGAGCGAACGGGAUUAGAAACCCUGGUAGUCC